Molecule: long non-coding RNA, 224 nt
Filed under: Taeniopygia guttata (zebra finch)
Lineage: Eukaryota; Metazoa; Chordata; Aves; Passeriformes; Estrildidae
Description: lncRNA (ENSTGUG00000025053.1)
Source: RNAcentral
UGGAAAUUAUUUACAAUGCCUCAACAAUGAAUGGGAAAUCAAAACAUUAAAUACUGCAAGCAAGAAGACCAUCCUAUUUUGCAGUGAGUUUAAGAUACUCUAUUUGUAAUUCAUUUUUAUCCUUUUAAAAGGCAGGUUAAAUCUUUCAUUUAAAUAGACAUCUUGCCUAAGAAAGGGGCUGCUGGAGUUUGCCCAAUGUUUCCAUGCCUUUGAGUUGUUGCCAG